CGGAAGUAUAUAAGGAGCACCUAGAAAACCAGUCAGUAUCUCAUUGUCUUUCGGGACUGUUCUGUCUGAUCGCUAUUGUAUCGACUCCGCUAAAUAUAAAGGUCAAAAAGAGCAAAAAAGUCAACUGGAUCUCCAUACCAAAGAAAGGACAUCAAGGUCAAAGCCAAAUGCAGUGUUGCAGGAUAAAACCACCGAUGGUACAGCGAGUGCUAAAUUUAUGGAGGUUGAUGUCACAAUCAUUGAUAAAAAAGCAUGUCAGAAGUACUGGGGGAAAACAUACUCUACCUCAAGGAUGGUGUGUGCAGGUGGUCGUGGAGGAUUUUGUCAGGGUGAUUCUGGAGGGCCUUUGGUGUGCAACAAAGUUGCAGUUGGUGUCGUUUCAUUUAAUCAGCCAAACAACUGAGACUCACCAACAUUACCCAAUGUCUCCACCAAGAUUUCCAAAUUUCUGCCUUGGAUAAAAUGUAUUUUUGGAGGUGUGAA
Ctenopharyngodon idella (grass carp) is the source of this 483-nucleotide long non-coding RNA. RefSeq lists it as uncharacterized. The record is from RefSeq and is a predicted model, not a curated record. The transcript has 3 exons. Lineage: Eukaryota; Metazoa; Chordata; Actinopteri; Cypriniformes; Xenocyprididae.